GUAGUCAUAUGCUUGUCUCAAAGAUUAAGCCAUGCAUGUCUAAGUAUAAGCAAUCAUACUGUGAAACUGCGAAUGGCUCAUUAAAUCAGUUAUCGUUUAUUUGAUAGUACCUUUACCUGGAUAACCGUGGUAAUUCUAGAGCUAAUACAUGCUAAAAACCCCGACUUCGGAAGGGGUGUAUUUAUUAGAUAAAAAACCAAUGCCCUCUGGGCUCCUUGGUGAUUCAUAAUAACUUAACGAAUCGCAUGGCCUUGCGCCGGCGAUGGUUCAUUCAAAUUUCUGCCCUAUCAACUUUCGAUGGUAAGAUAGAGGCUUACCAUGGUCUUAACGGGUAACGGAGAAUUAGGGUUCGAUUCCGGAGAGGGAGCCGGAGGAACGGCUACCACAUCCAAGGAAGGCAGCAGGCGCGCAAAUUACCCAAUGCUAAUUCAGCGAGGUAGUGACAAUAAAUACUGAUACGGGGCUCUUUCGGGUCUCGUAAUUGGAAUGAGUACAAUCUAAAUCCCUUAACGAGGAACAAUUGGAGGGCAAGUCUGGUGCCAGCAGCCGCGGUAAUUCCAGCUCCAAUAGCGUAUAUUAAAGUUGUUGCCGUUAAAAAGCUCGUAGUUGAACCUUGGACCUGGCUGAUCUGUCCUCCUAAUCGAGCGCACGGAUUCGGUCGGGUCUUUCCUUCUGGGGAGCCCUAUGCCCUUCACUGGGUGUAGUGGGGAACCAGGACUUUUACCUUGAAAAAAUUAGAGUGUUCAAAGCAGGCCUUUGCUCGAAUACAUUAGCAUGGAAUAAUAGAAUAGGACAUCGGUUCUAUUUUGUUGGUUUCUAGGACCGCUGUAAUGAUUAAUAGGGAUAGUCGGGGGCGUCAGUAUUCAAUUGUCAGAGGUGAAAUUCUUGGAUUUAUUGAAGACUAACUACUGCGAAAGCAUUCGCCAAGGAUGUUUUCAUUAAUCAGUGAACGAAAGUUAGGGGAUCGAAGACGAUCAGAUACCGUCGUAGUCUUAACCAUAAACUAUGCCGACUAGGGAUCGGACGGUGGUUUUUUUAUGCCCCGUUCGGCACCUUACGAGAAAUCAAAGUUUUUGGGCUCGGGGGGGAGUAUGGUCGCAAGGCUGAAACUUAAAGGAAUUGACGGAAG
Molecule: ribosomal RNA, 1129 nt
Filed under: Cladophialophora sp.
Lineage: Eukaryota; Fungi; Ascomycota; Eurotiomycetes; Chaetothyriales; Herpotrichiellaceae
Description: SSU rRNA
Rfam family: Eukaryotic small subunit ribosomal RNA
Source: RNAcentral